GAUGAAGAACGUAGCGAAAUGCGAUACUUGGUGUGAAUUGCAGAAUCCCGUGAACCAUCGAGUCUUUGAACGCAAGUUGCGCCCGAAGCCAUUAGGCCGAGGGCCCGCCUGCCUGGGUGUCACACGUCGUUGCCCCCCCAUCUACUCCUUCGGGAUUGCGGGGGGCGGAUGAUGGCCUCCCGUGCGCCUCGUCGCGCGGUUGGCAUAAAUGCCAAGUCCUCGGCGACGCACGCCACGACAAUCGGUGGUUGCGAAACCUCGGUUGCCCGUCGUGUGCGGUCGUCGCGCAUCGAGGGCUCGAAAAAAUUGCCGGGCUCCGGCUCGGCUUUCAACGCGACCCCAGGUCAGGCGGGGUUACCCGCUGAAUUUAAGCAUAUCAAUAAGCGGAGGA
Molecule: unclassified non-coding RNA, 391 nt
Filed under: soil metagenome
Description: partial contains 5.8S ribosomal RNA, internal transcribed spacer 2, and large subunit ribosomal RNA
Rfam family: 5.8S ribosomal RNA (bases 1-122)
Source: RNAcentral